RNAcentral lists this ribosomal RNA (447 nucleotides) under uncultured bacterium. Its description in RNAcentral is "SSU rRNA". It matches the Rfam family "Bacterial small subunit ribosomal RNA", at positions 26 to 518 of the family's 1533-position model. The record is from RNAcentral.
AGAACGAACGCUGGCGGCAGGCCUAACACAUGCAAGUCGAACGCUCGUAGCAAUACGAGAGUGGCAGACGGGUGAGUAACACGUGGGAACCUUCCCUAUGGUUCGGAAUAGCUCAGGGAAACUUGGGGUAAUACCGGAUAAGCCCUUCGGGGGAAAGAUUUAUCGCCAUUGGAUGGGCCCGCGUCGGAUUAGCUAGUUGGUGAGGUAACGGCUCACCAAGGCAACGAUCCGUAGCUGGUCUGAGAGGAUGAUCAGCCACACUGGGACUGAGACACGGCCCAGACUCCUACGGGAGGCAGCAGUGGGGAAUAUUGGACAAUGGGCGCAAGCCUGAUCCAGCCAUGCCGCGUGAGUGACGAAGGUCUUCGGAUUGUAAAACUCUUUUGGCGGGGACGAUAAUGACGGUACCCGCAGAAUAAGCCCGGCCAACUUCGUGCCAGCAGCCGC